Molecule: ribosomal RNA, 861 nt
Filed under: Achromobacter sp. DRJS3
Lineage: Bacteria; Pseudomonadati; Pseudomonadota; Betaproteobacteria; Burkholderiales; Alcaligenaceae
Description: bacterial SSU rRNA
Rfam family: Bacterial small subunit ribosomal RNA
Source: RNAcentral
CCCGAUGGCGCCUUCCUGCAGUCGAACGGACACGGACUUCGGGCUGGUGGUGAGUGCCGAACGGGCGAUUAUAUGUAUCUGAACGUGCCCAGUAGCGGGGGAUAACUACGCCAAAGCGUAGCUGAUACCGCAUACGCCCUACCGGGGAAAGCAGGGGAUCUUCGGACCUUGCACUAUUGGAGCGGACUAUAUCUGAUUAUCUAGUUGGUGGGGUAACGGGCUACCCACGCGACGAUCCGUAGCUGGUUUGAGAGGACGACCAGCCACACUGGGACUGAGACACGGCCCAGACUCCUACGGGAGGCAGCAUUGGGGAAUUUUGGACAAUGGGGGAAACCCUGAUCCAGACAUCCCGCGUGUGCGAUGAAGGCCUUCGGGUUGUAAAGCACUUUUGCCAAGAAAGAAACGUCGCGGGCUAAUACCCCGCGAAACUGACGGCACCUGCAGAAUAAGCACCGGCUAACUACGUGCCACCAGCCGCUGCACUACGUAGGGCGCAAGCGUUAAUCGGAAUUACUGGGCGUAAAACGUGCGCAGGUGGUGCGGAACGAGAGAUGUGUAAUCCCACAGCUCAACUUACGUAAGUGCAUUUUUACCUACCGGGCUAAAGUGUGUCCCACGGAGGUGGAAUUCAGCUUGCUGACGUCCAAUGCAUCCCAUUAACUGAGGAACACCUUUGGCGAAGGCAACCUCCUGGGAUAAAACUUACGCUCAUUUACUAACCUUUUCUCGCAAAACGGAUUAUAUUCCCUGGGUCUCCCCGCCCCCACGAUGCCAACCAUUACUAGUGGCCUUUGCCCCUGUUACCUCAUCUCUUAACUGAGUUUAUAAUUCGAGGACUCGGGUUAUAGUUUAAAACUC